RNAcentral lists this ribosomal RNA (294 nucleotides) under uncultured bacterium. RNAcentral's name for it is "partial 16S ribosomal RNA". It matches the Rfam family "Bacterial small subunit ribosomal RNA", at positions 30 to 329 of the family's 1533-position model. The record is from RNAcentral.
CCUGAACGCUGGCGGCGUGGCUAAGACAUGCAAGUCGAACGGAAUCCGCAAGGAUUCAGUGGCGGACGGGUGAGUAAUGAAUCGCUAACGUACCCUUAGGCCUGGGAUAGCUAGCCGAAAGGUUAGGUAAUACCAGAUGAAAUGUCCUGAUCGCAUGAUCGGGAUCUCAAAGCCGCAAGGCACCUUUGGAGCGGGCGAUUUCGUAUCAGCUUGUUGGUGAGGUAACGGCUCACCAAGGCGAUGACGCGUAGCCGGACUGAGAGGUUGGCCGGCCACAUUGGGACUGAGACACUG